GACGAACGCUGGCGGCGUGCUUAACACAUGCAAGUCGAACGGAAAGGCCCUGCUUUUGUGGGGUGCUCGAGUGGCGAACGGGUGAGUAACACGUGAGUAACCUGCCCUUGACUUUGGGAUAACUUCAGGAAACUGGGGCUAAUACCGGAUAGGAGCUCCUGCUGCAUGGUGUGGGUUGGAAAGUUUCGGCGGUUGGGGAUGGACUCGCGGCUUAUCAGCUUGUUGGUGGGGUAGUGGCUUACCAAGGCUUUGACGGGUAGCCGGCCUGAGAGGGUGACCGGCCACAUUGGGACUGAGAUACGGCCCAGACUCCUAAGGGAGGCAGCAGUGGGGAAUAUUGAACAAUGGGCGGAAGCCUGAUGCAGCAACGCCGCGUGCGGGAUGACGGCCUUCGGGUUGUAAACCGCUUUCGCCUGUGACGAAGCGUGAGUGACGGUAAUGGGUAAAGAAGCACCGGCUAACUACGUG
This 468-nucleotide ribosomal RNA is filed under the name uncultured bacterium. RNAcentral's name for it is "partial 16S ribosomal RNA". It matches the Rfam family "Bacterial small subunit ribosomal RNA", at positions 28 to 507 of the family's 1533-position model. The record is from RNAcentral.